UACGUAGGGUGCGAGCGUUGUCCGGAAUUAUUGGGCGUAAAGAGCUUGUAGGCGGUUUGUCGCGUCUGCCGUGAAAAUCCGGGGCUCAACCCCGGACUUGCGGUGGGUACGGGCAGACUAGAGUGUGGUAGGGGAGACUGGAAUUCCUGGUGUAGCGGUGAAAUGCGCAGAUAUCAGGAGGAACACCGAUGGCGAAGGCAGGUCUCUGGGCCACUACUGACGCUGAGAAGCGAAAGCGUGGGGAGCGAACAGG
This 253-nucleotide ribosomal RNA is filed under the name uncultured bacterium. RNAcentral's name for it is "partial 16S ribosomal RNA". It matches the Rfam family "Bacterial small subunit ribosomal RNA", at positions 524 to 776 of the family's 1533-position model. The record is from RNAcentral.